UUCGUAGGGGGCUAGCGUUGUCCGGAUUUACUGGGCGUAAAGGGAGCGUAGGCGGACUUUUAAGUGAGAUGUGAAAUACCCGGGCUCAACUUGGGUGCUGCAUUUCAAACUGGAAGUCUAGAGUGCAGGAGAGGAGAAUGGAAUUCCUAGUGUAGCGGCGAAAUGCGUAGAGAUUAGGAAGAACACCAGUGGCGAAGGCGAUUCUCUGGACUGUAACUGACGCUGAGGCUCGAAAGCGUGGGGAGCAAACAGGAUUAGAUACCCUGGUA
Molecule: ribosomal RNA, 269 nt
Filed under: uncultured prokaryote
Description: partial 16S ribosomal RNA
Rfam family: Bacterial small subunit ribosomal RNA
Source: RNAcentral